AGCAGAAAUAACACUUCUAGAAUUCUAAAACCAGCAGAAAUAACACUUCUAAAAUUCUAAAACCAGCAGGAAGCAGAGGAAAUAAUUCCAAGUAGAAACAAUUGAAACUCCUCUCCUGGUCAUGACGUCACCUCGUUGCUGACACCACGCUUUCCAUUCGACCGAUUGCACACGUGAUUCAGAGCGUGGACAACCCAGAAGAAUGCAGCUCGAGUUUCUGAAGGGGAACAAAGAAAGCUCCAUGAAGAUAUAAUUUACUUGGGUUAUAGUGGAAGAUGUUAAGUGGCCUGUUAUAGAGCUCUGACCUCAAGUCUAACAUCUUUGGGAUUAAUUGAAAUGCUGACUGCACUCUAUAGUAUACUUUGCACUAUGUUCCCAGAGAGCGGAGGUUAUUAUAAUAAGUAGGAAGCAAAUGGCAAUAUCAUUGCAAAUGGGAAAUAAAUGUGGAAUUGGAUGUUCAAAAAGCA
Long non-coding RNA from Silurus meridionalis, 467 nucleotides. RefSeq lists it as uncharacterized. The transcript is spliced from 2 exons. The record is from RefSeq and is a predicted model, not a curated record. NCBI's taxonomy places the organism in Eukaryota, Metazoa, Chordata, Actinopteri, Siluriformes, Siluridae.